Molecule: long non-coding RNA, 4548 nt
Organism: Neopsephotus bourkii (Bourke's parrot)
Lineage: Eukaryota; Metazoa; Chordata; Aves; Psittaciformes; Psittacidae
Exons: 3
Source: RefSeq, a predicted model, not a curated record
UCAUCCUGCAGAGAGGGAAUGAAACAUUAUGAAUAGAAGCCAUUGAAAUCAAUCAUAUACCAUCAAACUCUGCAUGUCUUCCCUUUGCAUCUGUCUAAAAGCACUUCUGCCUUAAAAAUAACCUGCAUGCAGACAGCAAGCCCCCAUAAAUCAGGCUGGCAUCUCACUAAGGAAACACCCUAGUCUUUAAGCUACAGGACAAUUUGCAGCUAGAGGUCCACAGUGGCCAAGCAAAUAACAUGUUGUGGACAGUAACACCACCUCCUGCCAUCUCUGUUGGGAUCUGCAGCCAAAAGUGAAACUACUUUCUCCCUACAGUGAACACAGGAGAUGUUACUCUGUUUUUCCACAGGGAAGAUGACACAAGCAUCACCACGGUCCAGGCAGCCCCCUAGGAUGCCAGAGGCAUAGUGAAGAUAAGAGGGGAGCCCUGCUACCACGGAGCUAGAGCAGGCUGGUCCUCACAUCAAAAAGGUCAGCAGAAGCCACGUGCAACUGGGACACCCUCCUCUUGCAGCCACGCUUUGAGCUGUCAAAGUGCGUAAGACUGGAAAUACAGUCCCAUACAGCCAGCAAAACUGCAGGGCCAGUGUCUCAGUGGGGUAUGUUUAUCUCUGGUGUAUCUGCACUGAUGGAGUGUAUCUCCGCCUCUUGGCUCCUUUCUCCCAGUAACAUAACUAAAAUUCCACACAUGGUGCGUGGCUCAGUUCAGCUGCACAGAACCAUCCGUAAUAGGAAUCACAGCGUAACACAGCACAGUGUUCUUCAUGUCUCAGUAGCCCAGAAGAGACUGAAGCUCCCUUUUGCUAACCAUUAGACAAAUAAGCAGUGAGAAUCACAGAGCAGUUCUUGCUCCAGCCAGCACACCUCAUGAACCACCAUUACCAUCCUGAAUUAAAACCAUUGACCGUGACCAUCCCCAGCCCAGGCUCUGCUCCCAAGGCAGCUCCUCAUACCCGUCUGAGUUUGUAUUUAGCAAUUCCUGUAGCAGAGAAGGGGGUGUGGGAUGAGGAAAUGUAUUGCAGCCAGGAAGCUGCUGCGUGGCUGGAGGCAGGGAAUGGGGAGUUCAGAGGGAAGUGGGCUGCAGGGAAUUUCCUCCCUUUACCGCCUGACAUUUAAGUCACUGUGCAGAGCUCAGGCUGUGUUUAGUUUGUUUUAACCCUGCUCCUAUCUGGGGAUGGGGGCCCGGCGGAGCCGAUGUCGGAAUGCAGAGCGAGUUCAGAGCCACUGAGGGAUGUCUGGGUCUAAUUUAGGUUUAUUAUUUUAAUGACAUUACUGUUUAUUUCAUUUAACACUGAGUAGGUGAACGUGACCAGAGAACCAGGAGAACACAUAUGAGGAGGAGCAGCUUAAUCCUGCCCAAACCUAAAACCCAACAGAUAAAAUCCUGCUGACGAUACCGAGCCCUUUGAAGGCACAAGGCUCCUGCUGCAAUCCUGCUGUCGCAGUGUCACUGCAAAAGGACCGGGAUGGAAAUAAUAACCCCUCAGCGGCCAACAAAUGACAGAGAAGGGUGAGGUCAGGAAUACAUGCCUCGGGGAUGGGUGAUCUCAUCCUGGCCUUUGGUGCACGACCGCCCACAUUACAGCACUGCUGCACGGCCGGUGCGGUUACCAGCCCCGACGUGAAAGUUUGCUGAGCUCCUUCAUCUCAGAGACCUGAACUUCUCAAGUUAUCCUCUUUAGGGAGGGCAGGGAAGAAAGCAGCCAGGGAAAGAAGAAAACUCCAUGUCUGAGGCAAAGCAAAAGCAUCUGAGUUCAGGGAGCACCAGAAUGGGGCUUUUGUCUCUGUUUUACCCUUGGCAAGCAGCCAUCCCCUCUAUGUGACCCUACCUGGGUCACAAAGAGAUCCUUUAUGUUUGUCCUGCACCACUAAGAGAAAGACUGAAAGACCCAACCCUGCUGCAGAUCUCCAGGUGCCCUUCAACCUCCUGGGACCAGGAGGAUACUCAGCAUCACAGAGACAAGGUUGCUUCCAGGGUCCUGUUCCAACACAGGGGUGUUAGACACAUGUUCUGGACAAGCUCCUGCUCCAUUUGGUCUCUAUUGUCCCAGAGAAAUUAAAACAAUCCUUUUAUGCCAUCCUGAGCCACAGAUGUUGUGUUCUUACUCAGUGGUCGCACCUCCCUGCAGCACACAGCUCCCAGGUUGUCCCUCACCUGAUCGAGGCAGGGAAUUCCCUUCAGACCACCUUUCUCUUUUCCUUUACAGACUUUAGGGCUUGCUUUUUAAACUGCUUCUGUGCUUGCUGUAAGGGACAAUCAGUAAGACACUUAAAAUCCUGCUACAGAAACCCCUGCAUUAGUGAUUUAAUGAAGAAACCCAAUUCCUUUAUCUAUUCACGGAGCAGAUGCUGCGACUUAACAUGUAUCUGUCUGUAGGCUUGGCCCUUAAGAAGGAAAAUACCAAACACCUAAAAACAGUAGAGCAUCAACCAAAGAACCACACUAGGCAAACAGCUGCCUUAAUGAGAAGCUGAUAAAAAGGGGGGUAAAGACUCACUGACACUUGUAUUUAUAUGAAGUAUAAUUUCCAGCAAAGGCCUCCUCAGUGACCCACAUUCAUAGGCUGUGACCCUCUGCUCAGUGCACAGUGUCUAGACUGCCUGAAAUAAUAAUUUACUUCUCUGUCCAAGGAGCUCAAAGUGUUUUAACAGAUCACUUUCGGGUAUGUAUUGCUUUUACCAGGGGCAAAAUACAGAUGUUAACGGCAUGACUGUUAAAUGCAGAGUGCGUCCUCUGGUCUCUAGAAGACUCUUUGUCUAGUAGGGUUUUAACCUGUCAAAGAAUGCACUUUAAAAAAAUCCCCAAAACAACAAAAAGCCCAACUCUAAAACCUAAAUAUAAACCACUGUUUAGGGGGGGAAACCUCCAAACCCAAGACUGAUGCUCUCUGAUCUAUGGAGUGAUGAUUCUGAUCUGUGUAGUCUCUCUGCACAGGAUUGCCUGUUCUUCCCCUGCUCGCUGGAGCUUGUAAGGUUUGAUUUUGAUUCUGGCAAGAAUAUGCAGAAACAAGAAGAGAAAAAAUACCCUUUAGAAAAUAACCUGCUUGGUUCUGCGUGGGCCUGCUGCACGCAUCCUGCCUUCCCAGAGACUCCUGAGCAGCUUCUGAGGAUGUGAGCACGCCAGAGCUGGCUCCAAUUCAGCAAGCACUGAGCAAUGCCAGUUUAAACCAUUUCAGCCUGAGGAUGGUCUGGGAUGCUGUGUCUGUUUCCAGGGUCACACAAAGCCAGCUUUCAGGUUCCACAAAGGCAUGCCCUUUAAAAAACCCUACGUCAUGAUGAUAGAAUUUGAAUCUCUGAGUUCCUGAAGCUUCAGCUGGAGUCAACAGGUAUCUGGGGCACUGGGAAGCAGUCUGCAGAGCACCAGUGGUUUGCAGGACCAGGCUGCAGCUCUCUGUGCAAGAGAAACCCUUUCCCUGCUUCCAAGCUGCUCAUCACCUGACAGUGACUUCUCAUUUCAUUGUUCUUGCACUCUUCCUGCCAUUUCACAACUAAGAACAAACGCCUCCAGAAAGCGUUGGGAUUUGGGAAGAGCAGGAGGGUUCAGUGUAAGGGAGGAGGCAACACCCUUUAACCCAAACUGUUUUUAACAAACCUUUAUUAGGCAAUAGUGUGUUUUUUAGAAAAGAGAACCAACCUCACUGUCAGUCCUGGUCCUGAAACCAUCACAGCAAUGCAGCUGCUGAAACAUUUCCCCAUUCUUCUUCCCUUGACAAACUGCACACAAAGCUUCACAUUACUCUGGUUUUAUAUCAUCUUGAUACCCACGAAUGACCCAGAUCCCCUUGUGUCAGACACCACACAGACACGCGGCCCUUGUGCUGACCACGCAGUGAGAAAUCCUCCUCCAUCCUGAUGCACACACAAACUGCCAGCCACCAUAUACCAGCAGGGCUUAGUCUGACCCACCCCAUAUCCCAGAUGGUUGUAGCUUGUGCUCUGCACUGUAAUUUCUAACUCUGGGGCAAACUCUGCUCUUGCAGAAGCCCCUUCUAACCCAGGAGCCAAGGGAAGAGCUCCCAUUGCAGCCCAGCAGGACCAGCCCUGCAUUUUUCAUUCUUCUAGCAUGAAGAUGCAGGACAUAUUUGGCUUGGCUUUUAUUUCUCAUUUGAUUGGAAACAGCUCUAAAUGAGGCCAUGAACUUAAGGCAUGCAAUUUAUCUAGGGAAGUCCAGGACAAGUCUCCCAGGGGUUCUUCGCUCAGUACUGGCUUAAGUAAAAGGAAAAGAUGAGCCAAAUCCAGACCGUGUCUCUGCUUAAGAAGGACAGCAAGCACUCACAAUCUCACCCUGCAUCCAUCAGAGACUCUGAUGAGCCUGGCUAGCAACAAUUUGAGCUGCUUGAAGGGUGCCAAACAGCUGCAGGGUUGCCUGCCAUUCCCUCAAGCAGCAGGUGGGGAGUCAGCCUGCUACAGUCCACUUUUAUCCUUUCAACUCCAAAACCACAGAGCACAUGUCCUGCUUCCGCCCCAAGCUUCACUCCCUUUGCCUUCUCACAGGAUGUCCUGCCCCCAUUAUUUUUCUUUGGCAAUGGAACUGUCAAAAUAUUU